GCCUUCGUGGUGUAGUAGUCAGCACACUCGAUGCGUAACCGAGAGGUCCGUGGUUCGAUUCCUUGCGAAGCCA
RNAcentral lists this transfer RNA (73 nucleotides) under Stegodyphus mimosarum. It matches the Rfam family "tRNA". From Rfam's summary of the family: Transfer RNA (tRNA) molecules are approximately 80 nucleotides in length. Their secondary structure includes four short double-helical elements and three loops (D, anti-codon, and T loops). The record is from Rfam by way of RNAcentral. Lineage: Eukaryota; Metazoa; Arthropoda; Arachnida; Araneae; Eresidae.